RNAcentral lists this ribosomal RNA (253 nucleotides) under uncultured bacterium. RNAcentral's name for it is "partial 16S ribosomal RNA". It matches the Rfam family "Bacterial small subunit ribosomal RNA", at positions 524 to 776 of the family's 1533-position model. The record is from RNAcentral.
UACGAAGGGGGCUAGCGUUGCUCGGAAUCACUGGGCGUAAAGCGCACGUAGGCGGACUCUUAAGUCGGUGGUGAAAUCCUGGAGCUCAACUCCAGAACUGCCUUCGAUACGGAGAGUCUCGAGUCCGGGAGAGGUGAGUGGAACUGCGAGUGUAGAGGUGAAAUUCGUAGAUAUUCGCAAGAACACCAGUGGCGAAGGCGGCUCACUGGCCCGGUACUGACGCUGAGGUGCGAAAGCGUGGGGAGCAAACAGG